This 864-nucleotide long non-coding RNA is filed under the name Elaeis guineensis (African oil palm). RNAcentral's name for it is "long non-coding RNA (EGUI_LNC030511)". The record is from RNAcentral. Lineage: Eukaryota; Viridiplantae; Streptophyta; Magnoliopsida; Arecales; Arecaceae.
AUGAACACAGUAAUGACACAAACACAAAUCAUCAAGGUAUGAUACUGCAUUAGUACUGCUACCAAAUAUGUAUUGAAAGGAACAAAAUCGAUGGUGAAAAGUAACAGUACUGAGUUAUGAAAUAUAAAAUCUAUACUGGAAAUAAGUCGCUUUGAUCAAAAAUUUAAAAGAUAGCGGAGGCUGCAUGAAUAAAUUUCGUUCUUUUCAUGAAUCAAAGCAGAGGAAACGCCAGAAUAAAUGUGAGAGAGACAAGACUCUAAAUGUAUCGGCAAGAAAGAAUUGGGAGCGAGUUUAUUUUACCACUGGGUUUGGGUUGGGUUUGGUGAGCCGGCUUUAUUUUAGUGGGCAGCAGAGUUUGGCCCAGACGAAGCGAUGCGUAGAUGUGGCACCCGUUUCAGCAGUUCAACACAACCAUCUGGGUCCCAGACUCCUAUAAUAGGGUAUUCAAUCCAAUCGGCAUUCUCUUGGCGAAGAGACGCUAAGAAUAAAAUGGCUUCCACCUGUAUUUUGUGAAUCUUCUGAACCACCCAUCCGCAGCUGAUAAGGGGCUGUUUAUCUUGGCCUAUGAACUACAAGUUGUAAAGGGCUGUAAGAUAUUAUAACGUUGAAUUCGUGAGUUCAUGUAUGGGACUGUUUACUGUUUAGAGAGGGCAUCUAAGUGCAGCAGGAAGCGGUCAUUCUUGAAGCCCUAAUAAUAUUGAUCCAGUUUGGCAUGACUAGUCUUGUAGCAAAUAUGGAUGAGAAUCAAAUCAAUAGGUGUGGCCUGUGGUAAAACAAUGAUUCUACUCUGGAGACUUUGUGUACAAUGAUGAUAUGCCACCUGUUAUAUUUGGCUCCAAAUCUUAUUUCCAUAUCCUUCUCCCG